This 267-nucleotide ribosomal RNA is filed under the name Triticum aestivum (bread wheat). RNAcentral describes it as "partial small subunit ribosomal RNA". Lineage: Eukaryota; Viridiplantae; Streptophyta; Magnoliopsida; Poales; Poaceae. The record is from RNAcentral.
AUGCUCUCCUCCAUGCCAAUCUUCCUGCUGACGGCUUUAAAGGCUGACAAAGGCAUCCUCAGGGCCUUUGCGAAGAUCAGUCGUGGCAUGCUCUGGGCCUGUAAGGAGGCGGUUAGUGGAGGGAAAUGCAAAGUCAACUGGCAAAAGGUCUGCCGCCCCAAGGAGCUCGGUGGUUUGGGGGUUCUGGACCUGGAGAGGUUCUCCCGGGCCCUGAGGCUUCGCUGGUUAUGGUAUGAGUGGAAGGCUCCUGAGAAGCCAUGGGCGGGC